This 71-nucleotide transfer RNA is filed under the name Ctenodiscus crispatus. Its description in RNAcentral is "tRNA-Pro". Lineage: Eukaryota; Metazoa; Echinodermata; Asteroidea; Paxillosida; Ctenodiscidae. The record is from RNAcentral.
CAGGAAAUAGUUUAAUAAGAAUGAUAGCUUUGGGAGUUGUUAGUGUAAAUAUGGAAAUUUUACUUUUCUGA